UCACCCCUCAAGCCUCGUGCUUGGUGUUGGACGGCCGGUCGAGGACCCCCCUCGACCCCUCCUAAAGACAAUGACGGCGGCCUGUGGUUCCCCCGGUACACUGAGCUUCUCACCGAGCACGUACCGGACGAGGGCACCCAGGACCCGGUCCUCUCCUCCUCGUGGGGAAAUAUUUUACAAGG
RNAcentral lists this unclassified non-coding RNA (182 nucleotides) under uncultured Cladophialophora. Its description in RNAcentral is "sequence contains ITS2". The record is from RNAcentral. Lineage: Eukaryota; Fungi; Ascomycota; Eurotiomycetes; Chaetothyriales; Herpotrichiellaceae.